GCCCACAUAGCUCAGGUGGUAGAGCGUCGCCUUGGUAAGGCGAAGGUCACCGGAUCAUCCCCGGUUGUGGGCU
This 73-nucleotide transfer RNA is filed under the name Chloroflexota bacterium. RNAcentral describes it as "Chloroflexi bacterium tRNA-Thr". It matches the Rfam family "tRNA". Rfam says of the family: Transfer RNA (tRNA) molecules are approximately 80 nucleotides in length. Their secondary structure includes four short double-helical elements and three loops (D, anti-codon, and T loops). The record is from RNAcentral. Lineage: Bacteria; Bacillati; Chloroflexota. RNAcentral also lists the same sequence under 1 other name.